RNAcentral lists this long non-coding RNA (661 nucleotides) under Mus musculus (house mouse). Its description in RNAcentral is "predicted gene 7437". Lineage: Eukaryota; Metazoa; Chordata; Mammalia; Rodentia; Muridae. The record is from RNAcentral.
GAAUAAGAAGGAGAAAAUGGAAGAGGGAGAGGAUGCAGAGGUGGAGGAAAACAAAGAAAAGCAGAGCAGAAGCCCAUCGCCAGGGGAAACUGCAAGUUCUAAGGGGUCUCAUAAGCUGUGGAAGAUGGUAGCAUAGUGGUAGAUCUGUCCAAUCUUGGUGCACAGCAUGUAAUCAUAUUAACUGAGUUGUGUUUUCAUUGCUGGGGCAUAUUUUGGAGGAGAUUUACCUCAACACCAUGGUGUUACCACAAUGCUGGGCCGAGAUACCUGGCUUAUGACUACGUCAUUAACAAUAAAGUACCUGCUGUACAGCUGCCACGCUUGUCAUGAGUGCGCAAACAUUUGGAAUUCAGACCACAAGAAUGCUGUCUGAGUCUUCAGGCACCCAGUCAUCAGGGUCCAGGUUGAUGCCGCAGCAUGUCUUCCAACCCGCCUACCACCAGAGGGCAGCAGCGUACAUUCACAACAAUUGUUGAGAAAUCAGGAAGCCCAGGAAUCUUAUGUGUGGAUGAGGACAUAGCAAAAGGAGAAGCAUUCCAUACCACCUGCCUUCAUGCCUGCCACGCCCUGGGUUUGGGCCCCCAUCUGAACCAUCUCCUGCACAUAGCCAUGCAAUCAUAAUAAGGAAUCUCGAGAUCUGUGACAAUCUCUCUCUUCUCCC